Molecule: long non-coding RNA, 1023 nt
Organism: Aethalodelphis obliquidens (Pacific white-sided dolphin)
Lineage: Eukaryota; Metazoa; Chordata; Mammalia; Artiodactyla; Delphinidae
Exons: 5
Source: RefSeq, a predicted model, not a curated record
AGCUUGCUGAGCUCCGGAGCUGUCCUGUGGUGAGAAUUUGCUCUGUGCCGGGCUUGGGCUAGAAGUUUUACGAACACGAUAGCAUUUGAUUCUCACUGCAUCCCUGUGAGGUCAUCCUUUGAGAAGAUCAAUAAAAUGGAUAAAUCUCUAGCUGGACUGAUCAGGGAGGAAAAAGAAGAGAAGGCCUCAGAAACCAAGCUGCAGAAUGCACAGACACAAAAUUUUGUCUUUGCUGUCCAUCUGUGUUGACACGUUCACAACCAGGACAACCAAGAGUUUGGGCCUUCACCCAUCACCCUGAGGAUUUUGCCAAAAUGUCUCUCCUGAGGACACACUGGUGGAAAUUUGAUGGGGACACUGAGACCCAGAGGUGUUGGGGCUGCUGUCCAGAUGCAUGCAGCCGUGAGGAAAGCUUGGACUUGAACCAGAAUCUUCCCAUUGCUAACCCAGGACCCUCUGUCCUCUGCCCUGGGUUGCAUCUUCCCAGAGGGCUUUGGAAACACCCUGGAGAAUGAGCCGUGGGGGUGGUGACAUAGAGAACAAAACUGGCUAAGUGGUUGCCCACCCCCCACCCUGAGUCUUGUGACCCCCCAGCCCCGAGCGAGCAUCCCAGGUUGUGGAAGCAUCACACCAAAGUUCCCUGGAGGGCAGGUUACUCGAAGAUCUGGGUCAGGUGAUUCAAGGAAGGAAGAUUUCCUUGCCUGUGAUGGAACAAACUUUAAGUCUGGGUUUAACCUCAUCAGAAGUGUGCUGGGGCGGCAUUUCCCGCUGCUAUAUGGAGGGGAAUGUGAGCCCAUCUACAGAAAACACUUUGCUGCCAGGGGACUUUGUGAGCUGUGCUCCUUGCUGCCCAGGGACUCUGCAGAUGAAAUCUGAUCUUCCCUUUGAGUAUAAAAAUCCAGUUCAUCAACUCAAAGCCUCCCUUUGAAAGACUGAAGAGGCUGGCGCUUUCCCUGGUCUUCAAAAGGACCCAGAAGAGCACUCUGUAAGUGUUUAUGGGAUGGAUAAGCCCUUGUCGAAUCC